GCUGAGCAUGGUGGCUUGUGUCUGUAGUCCCAGCUACUCAGCAGGCGGAGGCAGGAGGAUUGCUUGAGCCCAGAAGUUCAGGAUGUUACUGCUGUAUGCCAAGCAGGUGUUCACACUGAGUUUGGUAUCAAUAUGGUGACCUCUCAGGAGCAGGGAACUACCAGAUUACCUAAGGGGGAGUGAACUGUGAUGGUCACUAGCAGUAUGGAGCCCGAGCAUAGCCACUGCACUCCAGCCUGGGCAACAUAGCCAGACCCUGUCUCUA
This is an unclassified non-coding RNA of Callithrix jacchus (white-tufted-ear marmoset), 265 nucleotides long. It matches the Rfam family "Metazoan signal recognition particle RNA". Rfam says of the family: The signal recognition particle (SRP) is a universally conserved ribonucleoprotein. NCBI's taxonomy places the organism in Eukaryota, Metazoa, Chordata, Mammalia, Primates, Cebidae. The record is from Ensembl.